This 403-nucleotide ribosomal RNA is filed under the name Verrucomicrobiota bacterium. Its description in RNAcentral is "Verrucomicrobia bacterium partial 16S ribosomal RNA". It matches the Rfam family "Bacterial small subunit ribosomal RNA", at positions 355 to 776 of the family's 1533-position model. Lineage: Bacteria; Pseudomonadati; Verrucomicrobiota. The record is from RNAcentral.
UGGGGAAUAUUGCACAAUGGGGGAAACCCUGAUGCAGCGACGCCGCGUGAGCGAAGAAGGCUUUCGAGUCGUAAAGCUCUGUCCUAUGAGAAGAUAAUGACGGUAUCAUAGGAGGAAGCCCUGGCUAAAUACGUGCCAGCAGCCGCGGUAAUACGUAUGGGGCGAGCGUUGUCCGGAAUUAUUGGGCGUAAAGGGUACGUAGGUGGUUUUUUAAGUCAGGUGUCAAAGCGUGGAGCUUAACUCCAUUAAGCACUUGAAACUGAAAGACUUGAGUGAAGGAGAGGAAAGUGGAAUUCCUAGUGUAGCGGUGAAAUGCGUAGAUAUUAGGAGGAAUACCGGUGGCGAAGGCGACUUUCUGGACUUUUACUGACGCUAAGGUACGAAAGCGUGGGGAGCAAACAGG